RNAcentral lists this long non-coding RNA (1879 nucleotides) under Brassica napus (rape). Its description in RNAcentral is "long non-coding RNA (BNAP_LNC018397)". Lineage: Eukaryota; Viridiplantae; Streptophyta; Magnoliopsida; Brassicales; Brassicaceae. The record is from RNAcentral.
ACAAACCCUGCUCCUGGUCACGGUUUCGCCUUCCUCGUCGUCCCAAGUAACCAACAUGCCGGUUCCGGUUUAGGCUUCCUAAGUCUCGUGAACCGAACCAGUAACGGUAAUCCAAGUAACCAUCUCUUUGCUGUUGAAUUCGAUGUGUUUCAGGACAAGUCUUUUAAAGACAUCAACGAUAACCAUGUCGGAAUCGACAUUAAUUCGGUCGACUCGGUGACUUCGGUUAAAUCCGGUUAUUGGGUUAUGACAAGAAACGGUUGGUUGUUCAAAGAUUUGAAGUUGAAUAGUGGAGAUAAGUACACGGCUUGGAUCGAGUACAACAACAAUUUAAAAGUGAUCUCGGUUACGAUCGGGUUCGCGCAUUUGAAGAAACCGAACCGACCUUUGAUUGAAGCGAAGUACGAUCUCUCUAAUGUGCUGCUCGAGAAGAUGUACGCCGGUUUUGCCGGUUCAAUGGGCCGUGGUGUUGAGCGUCACGAGAUCUGGGACUGGACUUUCCAGAAUUAAUAAACCGGAUUUAUUCGAUUUGAGAUCGGUUUAAAUCGGUUUUGCUUGGUUUGUUUUUGUUUUGUUUUGAUAGCUUCGGUUAGUGGCUCCCGCUAAUAAUUGAAGUGAAUAAAUGCUCAAGGUGUCGGUUUCUAAAUUUCAAAAAUGAAUACAACAUUCUACCUAAUGGCUAAUACCAAAGACUUGAAAUACCAAAAUCAAAAUCAAAAUCAAAAUUUGUAUUUCUUUUUGUAUACAACCCACUUCGGUAGAACCUAAAAGAACGAACCCAAUACGAAUCCAUUAAUAAUAAACCGGGUUUACUCGGUUCAAAUCGCUUAUCGUUUGGUUUGCUUAUGUUUUGAUAGCUUCUGUAAGUGUGGCUCCCGCUACUAGUUGAAGUGAAUAAAUGCUCAAGUUAUCAAGUUUUCAGACUUCAAAAACAAAAAAUACUACGACACUCUACCUAAUACCAAAGACAUUUUUGUUUUUGAAACACACCAAAGACUUAAAAAACCAAAAAAAAAUCGAAAAUUUAGUUUCUUGUUGUACUGAUGUUAAGUGUAUUAUAAUACAAACACACAUGGGUAGAACUUAAAAGAAAAACCAAUAAGAAUAGGUUUUCUCGAAAAAGCCCCAUUAAAUACGUUAAUGUGUUUGGAAUUUCAUCCAGUUAAUUUAGAGUCGGUUUAUACAACUUUAAAAAAGAAAAAAAUUAGAGUAAACUUAAUCUUUAUUUUAUUUUCAAGCUGAUCAAAUGUAAAUAAAAAAUAGAGUAAUACAAUAAAAAUAUUCUUAAUUUUUUUGACCGAACUCCAUUUUAUACUAUAAAUUUUAUUUUGGAAUAAAGUUCCUUAACCAUAUCCAUUUUUUAAUUUCUUAAUCAUAUCUAUUUUUCUUAAAUUUUAAAAUAAAGUAAAAAGUGAAAUUAUUUUUAAAUGAAACAAUUGUAUGUAUUUCAGUAUUUCUCUGUAUUUACUCCUUACUUUAUUUUAGAAUAAAAAGUAAAGUAGUUAAAGUAAAAAUGUAAAGUAGUUAAACUAGAAUUUAAUCAUCAACCCAAUCAUAUUCAAACCUCCCAACAACGCUUCUUCUGUUUACCCUUUCAAGACCUCUUUCACUUUCUCCAUCACUCCACACAACACAAACCCUGCUCCUGGUCACGGUUUCGCCUUCCUCGUCGUCCCAAGUAACCAACAUGCCGGUUCCGGUUUAGGCUUCCUAAGUCUCGUGAACCGAACCAGUAACGGUAAUCCAAGUAACCACCUCUUUGCUGUUGAGUUCGAUGUGUUUCAGGACAAGUCUUUUAAAGACAUCAACGAUAACCAUGUCGGAAUCGACAUUAAUUCGGUCGACUCGGUGACUUCGGUUAAAUCCGGUUAUUGGGUUA